UAGUAAAAAAUUAUCCAUUUUUUUUUUGUUAAAAAUUGACAUAACUAAUAGAAUAUUCAAACGGUGGCACAUGAUAUGCUGUGUGUAUCUCAUGCUGACAUAUAAUGAUAAAUUUUUAACAGUGAAAAUAGAUGAAAAUUUUAAUA
Gossypium arboreum is the source of this 146-nucleotide microRNA precursor. It matches the Rfam family "MIR7502 microRNA precursor family". Lineage: Eukaryota; Viridiplantae; Streptophyta; Magnoliopsida; Malvales; Malvaceae. The record is from Rfam.